CCCGCUGAACUUAAGCAUAUCAAUAAGCGGAGGAAAAGAAACUAACAAGGAUUCCCCUAGUAACUGCGAGUGAAGCGGGAAGAGCUCAAAUUUGAAAUCUGGCGUGCCUCUGGUCGUCCGAGUUGUAGUCUGGAGAAGCGUUUUCUGUGUUGGACCGUGUAUAAGUCUCUUGGAACAGGGCGUCAUAGAGGGUGAGAAUCCCGUCUUUGACACGAACUACCAAUGCUUUGUGAUACGCUCUCAAAGAGUCGAGUUGUUUGGGAAUGCAGCUCAAAAUGGGUGGUAAAUUCCAUCUAAAGCUAAAUAUAGGCGAGAGACCGAUAGCGAACAAGUACCGUGAGGGAAAGAUGAAAAGCACUUUGGAAAGAGAGUUAAACAGUACGUGAAAUUGCUGAAAGGGAAACGCUUGAAGUCAGUCGUGUCUGCCAGGACUCAGCCUUGCUUCUGCUUGGUGUACUUUCUGGUUGGAUGGGCCAACAUCAAUUUUGAUCGUUGGAGAAAGGCUUUGGGAAUGUGGCACCUUCGGGUGUGUUAUAGCCCUUUGUCGUAUACAACGGUUGGGAUUGAGGAACUCAGCACGCCGCAAGGCCGGGUUUCGACCACGUUCGUGCUUAGGAUGCUGGCAUAAUGGCUUUAAGCGACCCGUCUUGAAACACGG
Molecule: ribosomal RNA, 658 nt
Filed under: uncultured fungus
Lineage: Eukaryota; Fungi
Description: eukaryotic LSU rRNA
Rfam family: Eukaryotic large subunit ribosomal RNA
Source: RNAcentral